Molecule: long non-coding RNA, 10176 nt
Filed under: Triticum aestivum (bread wheat)
Lineage: Eukaryota; Viridiplantae; Streptophyta; Magnoliopsida; Poales; Poaceae
Description: long non-coding RNA (TAES_LNC018335)
Source: RNAcentral
GCAUAUCAUUAGCAUCAUGGAUAUUCAAGGAAUUCAUACUAACAACAUUGCAAUCAUGCUCAUCAUUCAAAGAUUUAGUGCCAAACAUUUUAUUAACUUCUUCUUCUAACAAUUGAGCACAAUUUUCCUUUCCAUCAUUUUCACGAAAGACAAUAUAAAGAUGAAGCAUACGAGGCAACCUCAAUUCCAUUUUUUUGUAGUUUACUUUUAUAGACUAAACUUGUAACGCCCGGAUAAUUAGGCUACAGUAAAACUCUCCUAAUGAUGCCAUGUCAUCUCUGUUUGCUGUUGCUAAACUCUCGUUAGUUCAAAACCCGUUCAAAAGUCAAAUUCAAAAUAUGUCAAACAACAAAAGUUUUCAAAAGUUGAAACAAAAAUGUUCGGGCAGUGCCAAAAAUGGCAUAGGUAAUUAUGGUGUAGAAGACACAAUUUUAUAAAAAUAGUUAAAUGCCCUAAAUUAAAUAAAAUAGAAAAGGAAAAAAAAAAGAAAAUACAAAGGCAGAAGACAAAAAAAGAGAGAAAAGGAACCCCCCUGGACCAGACGGCCCAGCUCGCAGCCAGGCCGACCCACCUGGCCCAUCCGUCCGACCCGGCCCGUUCCCCCGGUCGCUCUCUCCCCUUCCCUGUUCCCCCGACCAGGGCCGGAACAAGGGCGCGUCCCCGCCGGACCCCCCUCGCCGGCGUCGAGGAGGGGAUAAGAUCGCCACGCACUCGCCUCCUUGAUCCCAUCUCCCACUCGCCCCCCGCUCGCCCUCUCGGUUCCUACGCCUCCCUCUCCCCUCAGAUCCAUCCCACCGCAUUCGAGCGCCGCCAUGGCCUCGCCGCCGUAGAACUCGUAGCCACCACGACCUCCGCACCUCUCCGACGUAUCCGCUCGCUCCACCUCCCUCGACUACGCCUCCCCGACGAGCCGCAGGACGCCGGGCGCCCACGAACGCUGCCCCGGCCUCGUCUUCUUCCUCGGAUCCCCAGCGCGUCUCCGACGAGCGCCGUCGACUCUGCUGCUACUAAACUCCCAAGGGCCAUCUUGCGUGCCGCACGGUGAGCUCCCCCAUCUCCCGCCCAUCUCCGUUAGCUCCCUCGCGCACCGUAGCUGCCUCGUCGCCGUUGCCGUGAGCACGUCGCCGCGGAUCGCCUCGCCGCCAUGGCCAUGCUCUCCGUCGUGCUCGCGUGAAAACGACAUCGUGUUCCUGGUGCUUCGAGGAACCCAACACGCACGCGCACACGCCUUCCCGUGCCCCCUAGCGCUGGAUCCACUGACGCCCGAACUCCGGCGUCCACUCCGCCGCUCGCCACCGCUGUCUCCGGCUGUUUCCGGCCAAACCCCCUCCACCGUUCGACGCGCCUCAACGCGCUUGUCUGUUCGGUCCCAAACACGCCUCGUUCGAACGCCCCGUAGCGCGAUCCCCGUCUGCGCCCGAACUACCGUCCGCCGCGCUUGUCGCCGGCGACCAUUCCGGCCACCCCCGCCGUCGUGCUCCCCUCCAUCGGACACGACGCGAAGAGGCUGUUCCAGAGAGCCUGCCCGCGCCCGAUUUGGUGCCCCGUAGGUGAAUCCCGAUGCUCGCCGGCGUUCGGCCGCUGCGCGCGAGCUCGCCGGAGCUACUGCGGCGGCUCUGCAGAGGUGGCACACAGGGGCCCACCCCCUGUGUCACUGCCUGUGGGCCUAGGGGCCCCAACUGGCCGCGUUGACCGAAGUCAACUUCGCUGAUGUGGCAGCUACUGCCACUGACAUGCGGGCCCGCGUCAUUUAAAACAUUUUUGUAAAUAAAUAAAAUGCUAAUUACUUCAUUAAUUAAUUUAAUUAACUAAAUAGUCACUGACUACUAGGCCCCACCCACUAAUUAAUCCAUUUAGUUAGUCUAAACCCCCCUGUUAGUGCCCCAGACAAUGACAUGUAGGUCCCACUGGACCCACCUGUCUGGUUUGACUGGUCAACCGACCAGUUGACCUGCUGACAUCACUCUAAUGUCAUGCCUCCGUCAUCAUUUACUAUUCUGGAUAAUGUUGGAUUUAAAUAAAUAAUUAAAAUCAGAAAAUGAUUAAAUCUUUAGAAAAUCAUAUAAAAUAAUCCGUAACUCGGAUGAAAAUACUUUCUACAUGAAAGUUGCUCAGAACGACGAGACGAAUCUGAAUACGCAGCCCGUUCGUCCACCACACAUCCCUAACCUAUCGAACUCGCAACUUUCCCCCUCCGGUUCAUCUGUCCGAAAACGCGAAACACCGGGAAUACUUUCCCGGAUGUUUCCCCCCUUCGCCGGUAUCACCUACUACCGCGAUUGGGCACGCCUAGCAUCACGCUUUGUCAUGUCAUGCAUCGCCAUGCAUUUGUUUGCGUUGUAUUUAUUGUUUCUUCCCCCUCUUCUCUUGCUAGACACCGAGACCGACGCCGCUGCUACCCAGUACGACUACGGUGUUGACGACCCCUCCUUCUCGGCUGAGCUUCCAGGCAAGCCCCCCUUGAUCACCAGAUAUCGCCUAUUCUACUCUCUACUGCUUGCAUUAGAGUAGUGUAGCAUGUUACUGCUUUCCGUUAAUCCUAUCCUGAUGCAUAGCUUGUCCUUGCUACUACUGUUGUUACCUUUACCUGCAAUCCUACAUGCUUAGUAUAGGAUGCUAGUAUUCCAUCUGUGGCCCUACAUUCUUGUCCGUAUGCCAUGCUAUACUAUCGGGCCGUGAUCACUCGGGAGGUGAUCACGAGUAUAUACUUAUAUACAUGAUAUAUGAUACCUGUGGUGACUAAAGUCGGGUCGGCUCAUAGGAGUACCCGCGAGUGGAUCUUUGUGGCGGAGCGAGAGGGCAGGUUGCGACCACCUAGGCGAGAGGUAGGCCUGGCCCUGGUCGGCGUUCGCGGUUACUUUAAAAUAACACGCUUAACGAGUUCUUGGUAUUUGAUCUGAGUCUGGCCAUUUGGUCUAUACGCACUAACCAACUACGUGGGAAAGUUAUGGGCACUCGACGUCGUGGUAUCAGCCGAAGCCUUCGUGACGUCAGCGACUGAGCGGCGCACGCCGCAUUGGACCGUAAGCUCGCACUUGUAUUAAGGGGGCUAGGUCUGCUUCCGGCCGCGUACGCAACGUGCAGGUGUGCAAUGGGCGAUGGGCCCAGACCCCUGCGCGCAUAGGAUUUAGACCGGCGUGCUGACUUCUCUGUUGUGCCUAGGUAGGGUUGCGACGUGUUGAUCUUCCGCGGCCGGGCAUGACCCAGAAAAGUGUGUCCGGCCAAAUGGGAUCGAGCGUGUUGGGUUAUGUGGUGCACCCCUGCAGGGAAGUUUAUCUAUUCGAAUAGCCGUGUCCCUCGAUAAAAGGACGACCCGGAGUUUUCCAUGACCUUAUGACAACUAGAACUGGAUACUUAAUAAAACACACCCUUCCAAGUGCCAGAUAUAACCCGGUGAUUGCUCUCUAACAGGGCGACGAGGAGGGGAUCGCCGGGUAGGAUUAUGCUAUACGAUGCUACUUGGUGAACUUACCAUCUACCCUCUCCUACAUGCUGCAAGAUGGAGAUGGCCAGAAGCGUAGUCUUCGACAGGAUUAGCUAUCCCCCUCUUAUUCUGGCAUUCUACAGUUCAGUCCAACAAUAUGGCCCUUUACACAUAUACCCAUGCAUAUGUAGUGUAGCUCCUUGCUUGCGAGUACUUUGGAUGAGUACUCACGGUUGCUUUCUCCCUCUUUUCCCCCUUUCCCUUCUACCUGAUUGUCGCAACCAGAUGCCGGAACCCAGGAGCCAGACGCCACCGUCGACGAUGACUCCUACUACACUGGAGGUGCCUACUACUACGUGCAGGCCGCUGACGAUGACCAGGAGUAGUUUAGGAGGAUCCCAGGCAGGAGGCCUGCGCCUCUUUCGAUCUGUAUCCCAGUUUGUGCUAGCCAUCUUAUGGCAAACUUGUUUAACUCAUGUCUGUACUCAGAUAUUGUUGCUUCCGCUGACUCGUCUAUGAUCGAGCACUUGUAUUCGAGCCCUCGAGUCCCCUGGCUUGUAUUAUGAUGCUUGUAUGACUUAUUUUAUUUUAGAGUUGUGUUGUGAUAUCUUCCCGUGAGUCCCUGAUCUUGAUCGUACACGAUUGAAUCAGGGGCGUCACAAGUUGGUAUCAGAGCCGACUGCCUGUAGGAAUCCCCCUUCCACACUCCCUGGCCGAAGUCGAGUCUAGACAUUGCAAAUUUUUUUACUAACAUGGUUGUGUGUCUUACGGGCCCAUGUCGCCAUUGGGUGGUACUAGGAUCUUUUACUCCUCGACCUUUACUCUGGGACUCUGAACUCUCUUCUACUCGGGUUAAACGAAUUUACUAACUCUAACACUAGGAUCCCGUGACCACAUUCACCCCAAAGUUGGAUAAGCCAUAGUUAUUUCUUAGAAUAGUGUUUUGAACAAUUCCCACACUGUCAUUUGACUCCUUUGAAACAUCUUUGCUUUCAGAUGGAACCCACGAGGCAGGUCGUGCGCCACACGACGGCCAUUGGUGCCUUGGGAUCACCUGCUGUGCUAGCUGAGAUGAUGACCUAUCUGGGUUAUCGCUGGCACCCUGAGUAUACCGUCUACGAGGAGUACCAGGACUUUAACUAGGAGCAGUAUCGUGCCAUCGUCCACCUUUACUCUCGGGAGUAUGACUCCACUACUGUGUUGCACACCGCUCAUGGUGUUGGAGUGACCAUCGAUAUGGCUGUCCAUGAUGCUGCUUAUGCUGCUCUGACACGUCUUCGUGGAGAGUAUCGGGAGUUGGACACCUCCCCUUUCAGGCACAUUGCUAUCGCAUCUGAUGUUGGUGCGGAGGGAUACUACACGGCUGCCUACUCCACUGUCACCCGAGAGCCCUUCUACCAUCAGAACCUAGUUCUGCAUGCUGAUGGGCUAGAUCGAGCUAACCGAGCUCUUCGCCACGAGUUGUACACCACCCGUCAGCACCUUUACCGUGCUCUGACGCUGUUGCACCCCUUGGUCCGAUCUAGAGAGCUGCCCCGUUCUGCGAUCUACCCAGCCAGGACUGUGAUGCCCCAGGGUGUCGGCUGGCCAGAUGUGGGAGGCUACUGUCCCGCACUUGGUCCUCUUCUGCCACCUGAGCGUCAGGUUCUGCACCAAAGUAUCCGCGGACCCCAGGUUGCUGACGUGGAGUUCCCGAUGCGACACUACCAGCUUUCAGGCUACACCUACCUCCACAGUACCUCUUGGGAUUGAUGUAGGCUUGCUUGUUAGUGUUAGAUGCAUUUGCCGUGAGCCUGUGUGCCGCCUAUGGUGUUUUAGUCUAUGUACUGAACUCUGUGUACCGAACUCUAUGCAUGACCCCUUUUGUAAGUUAUGCCGACUACUAUGUAGUAGCUAUCGUGCUCCUUUCAUUAUGCAUGUUUCAUCAUGAAUGAUUCUUGUCUUUGCAAAUUUCUCAAUGCUGAACAACCCCUGUUACAUAUUAGCAGAAUGGUUAGACCAGGUGGUCGUGGUAGUGGUGGCAACGCCCCACCACCGCCUGGGUACAUGGCUGGUAUGAUCCAACAGUUCGAACUGAACCGCCAAUUCAUGGAAAAUAUGAUGGCUCAGUUUCCUCGCCCCAAUAUGAACCAGCAGCCAACCCCAGUAACUCUGCAGGAUUUCUUGCGCCUCAACCCAACUGUGUACCGCAGCUCAACUCAGCCUCUGGAUGCUGAUGACUGGCUCCGUGACAUCACCUAUGAGAUGGAGUCUGCCGAUGUAGCCCCUGCCAGCUAUGUCACCUUUGCUUCCUUCUUCCUGAAGGGACCCGCUGCUCAAUGGUGGGACAGCCACAGGCGUACUCUGCCAGCUGGAACAAUCAUCACCUGGCCAGACUUCCAAGGUGCUUUCCGUGCCCGCUUCAUUCCUCAGGGAGUCAUGGACCAGAAGAAGCGUGAGUUCCGCAACCUCACCCAAGGCAACAAAACUGUUGAAGCUUAUCAGCGGGAGUUUCUGGGCUUAUCUCGCUAUGCUGAAGAGGACAUUGCAACUGAUGCACACAGACAGGAGAAGUUCCGUGAUGGCCUUCAAGCUGACAUCAAGCUCGCACUUCUAGUGCAUGACUUUACUGAUUUCGCCACCUUGGUGAACAAGGCCAUCAAUGUCGAAACUGGUCUGCAGGAAUACCAGAGCUCUCACAGGCGCAACCGUGACACGGGCUCAUCUUUGGGCCCACCCUCGCAGAAGCGUAAGAUAUGGAUCCCGAACAACAUGUACCGUCCAAAUGCGCCUGCCCCAAGGCAGACCUAUGCUGCACCUCGUCUGCCUCCUCCACCAUCUAGGCAGCCAAGGCUUCCAGCUCCACCACCCCAAGCUCCUAUUCCCACUCCCAAUAAUGGUCCGUGCUACAAGUGUGGUCAACCAGGUCACCGUGCCAGGGACUGCAAUCAGAAUCAGAAUCAACUUGCCCUUCCCGUAGCUGGCCGUGGUAACAACCAGCCACGCAACAACAAUGCUAAGUCUUAUGGUUGUGUUCAUGCCAACCACGUUGAUCUGAACGAAGCUCAAGACCAGCCUGCUACUGUGAUGGGUACACUCCUUGUAAAUUCAGUACCAUCAUCCGUUUUAUUUGAUACAGGUGCAUCACAUUCAUUCAUGUCAGAAGAUUUUGCAUACAAGCAUGACGUUAAAUGUGAGGAGAUGAACACUUCGGUAGUGGUAAAAACCCCCAUGGGACAAUGUCAAAUCUCCAUGGUUGGCAUCGACGUCCCCGUGGAAAUCGAAGGGCUGGAAUUCUAUGCCUCUCCCAUUAUCCUGAAGUCGUCUACCAUGGACCUCAUUUUGGGGAUGGAUUGGUUGAAAGCGCAUACUCCUUCUAUAGUUUGCGCCACUAAGACCGUCCAUCUACUUCACCCUUAAGAUGAAAUAGUUACUUACCAAGCUCAUCUGGUGCAAAAUGCCGAGGCCAGGCUCUAUGCAUUGAUUGCUGCACCACUCGAGGGCAUUGAAAACAUUCCCGUCGUGCGCGAAUUCCUCGACGUCUUUCCUGAAGAACUUCCAGGGAUUCCCCCUGCUAGAGCUGUCGAAUUCAUCAUCGACUUGAAACCAGGCACCACUCCUAUAGCCAAGCGACCCUACAAGAUGCCGCCGCGUGAACUCCUUGAGCUUAAGGAGGAAAUCGACAAAUCUCUUCGCAAAGGAUUCAUCCGCCCAAGUUGCUCUCCUUGGGGAGCACCUUCUCUCUUUGUCAAGAAGAAGGAUGGGACAAACCGAUUAGUUUAAGACUACCGUCCUAUAAACCAAGCUACCAUUCAGAAUAAAUAUCCUCUUCCUCGGAUCAAUGAUCUAUAUGAUCAACUGGCGGGUUCAUCAGUGUUCUCUAAGCUCGACUUGAGGUUGGGUUACCACCAGAUCCGUGUUCGCGAAGAGGAUAUCCCAAAGACCGCCUUCAUGACUCGAUAUGGUUCAUACGAGUACACCGUCAUGUCUUUCGGUUUAACCAAUGCUCCAGCCACUUCCUCUCGUCUGAUGAACUAUAUAUUCAUGGAUUACCUCGACAAGUUUGUCAUGGUUUAUCUGGAUGAUAUCCUGGUAUUUUCCAAGAACGAAGAGGAACAUGCUGAACAUCUUCGUCUUGUGCUGGAAAAGCUACGAGAGCAUCAACUAUAUGCCAAGUUCUCCAAAUGUGAAUUCUGGCUACCCGAAGUAACCCAUCUUGGGCAUGUCAUCUCUACGGAUGGUAUUGCCGUCAACCCUGAACGAGUCCAGGCUAUCCUUGAUUGGACUCCUCCCAAGAACGUUAAGCAAGUCAGAAGUUUUCUUGGUCUCGCCAGCUAUUGCCGUCGAUUCGUCGAGAACUUCUCCAAGAUCGCCAGGCCUCUGACUAACUGGUUGCAUAUGGGCGUCAAGUUCCAAUGCACAGACAAAUGUCAAGAAAGUUUCCAGGCACUCAAAGACAAGUUGACUUCUACUCCAGUGCUUGCUCCACCUGAUACUAAGAAGGACUUCGUCAUUUACUGCGACGCUUCCCGUCAAGGAUUAGGCUGUGUCCUAAUACAAGACCGCAAAGUGAUUGCUUAUGCCUCUCGGCAAUUGCGCCCUCACGAAGAGAACUACCCAGUUCACGACCUCGAACUUGCUGCUGUCAUUCAUGCGCUGAAGCAGUGGCGACAUUACCUUCUCGGUAAUCGUUGCGAGAUCUUCACCGACCACCAAAGUCUGAAGUAUCUGUUUACUCAGCCAGACCUGAACCUCUGUCAGCAGAGAUGGAUGGAGAUUGUUGCAGAUUUUGACUUGGGUAUAUCCUAUACGCCAGGCAAGGCUAAUGUAAUGGUUCAUGCCUUGAGCCGCAAGUCUUACUGCAACCACCUCCAGGUUCACAAAGUUCAGCCCUCGCUUGUUGAAGAAUUCAGAAAGCUGAACCUCCAUAUUGUUCCUCCGGGUGCACUCGCUCCCCCUCCUAAGGAGUUUUGCAAGAUGAACCUCCGGGUUGUUUCCCAGGGUUCCCUCAAUACCUUGGCUGUCGAACCAGAUCUCUUGGACUCCAUCAAGAGAAUACAGGGAUAUGACUCUGAAGCCCACAAGAUUAAGCGCUACCUCGCAGAAGGAAAGCCCUCAUUCUUCACUAUUGCUGAUGAUGGCGCUUUGUACUUCAAGGGCCGCCUAGUGGUGCCAUGUGCAGAGAAAAACCUGGAUAUGACUCAGGAAGUUAUGAAAGAAGCUCAUGAUACGCCUCUAUGUAUCCAUCCUGGUAGUACAAAGAUGUACCAAGACAUCCGUCAGAGAUUCUGGUGGUCUAAUAUGAAGCAAGACAUUGCUCGUUAUGUUGCCGAGUGUGACGUUUGCCGUCGUAUCAAAGCAGAACAUCAAAGGCCUGCUGGAACUCUACAACCUAUCUCUAUUCCUGAAUGGAAAUGGGAAGAUGUCGAGAUGGACUUCGUCACUGGAUUUCCCAAAUCGCAGAAAGGUAAUGAUGCAAUUCUUGUCGUCAUUGACCGACUUUCUAAGGUUGCACAUUUUCUCGCAGUCAAAGAAACGAAUACUGCUAGUCAGCUGGCAACGCUCUAUAUGUCCAGGAUUGUUUCACUCCAUGGUAUUCCAUUGGUUAUCAGCUCAUACUGUGGCAGCUUAUUCACUUCAAGAUUCUGGGCAAGUUUCCAAGAAGCUAUGGGAACUCAUCUGUCAUUCAGUACUGCGUUUCAUCCUCAGUCGCAAGGGCAAGUUGAACGUGUCAACCAAGUUCUCGAAGACAUGCUUCGAGCUUGUGUUAUUUCCUUCGGCAAGAAAUGGGAGGAAUCUCUCUCGUAUGCUGAGUUCUCUUAUAAUAAUAGCUAUCAAGCUAGUCUGAACAUGGCCCCCUGCGACGUGUUAUAUGGACGAAAGUGCCGAACCCCUUUGAACUGGUCAGAAACUGGGGAACGUCCACUCUUUGGUCCGGAUAUUAUCCAACAUGCCAAAGAACAAGUCCGCAUUAUUCGUGAGAAUCUAAAGACUGCUCAGUCACGUCAGAAGAGUCAGUAUGACCAUAAACAUAAAGACAUGGUCUAUCAACCCGGCGAAAAGGCUUAUCUUCGAGUUACACCAAUGAAGGGUGCUCACCGCUUCGGGAUCAAGGGCAAGCUAGCUCCUCGCUAUAUUGGCCCAUUCACUAUUCUCGAAAGGCGUGGAAAAGUGGCAUAUCAACUUGAACUUCAGCCGAACCUUUCUCAGGUUCACGAUGUGUUCCACGUGUCACAGCUCCGCCGAUGCUGAAUGGAUCAUGAAGUGCUCGAAUUGCAACAGGACCUCUCCUAUAAAGAGCAUCCGGUCCGCAUUCUCGACCAAGCUGAACGCCGCACACGUCAGAAGGCGAUCAAGUUCCUCAAAGUCCAGUGGUCGCACCAUUCUGAAGAUGAAGCCACCUGGGAACGCGAGGAUCGCCUACGUGAUGAAUACCACGCAUUGUUUCCUUCUACCUCCUAAAUCCUGGGACGAGAUUUCUUGUAGUGGAGGAGAUUUGUAACACCCGGAUAAUUAGGCUAUAGUAAAACUCUCCUAAUGAUGCCAUGUCAUCUCUGUUUGCUGUUGCUAAACUCUCGUUAGUUCAAAACCCGUUCAAAAGUCAAAUUCAAAAUAUGUCAAACAACAAAAGUUUUCAAAAGUUGAAACAAAAAUGUUCGGGCAGUGCCAAAAAUCGCAUAGGUAAUUAUGGUGUAGAAGACACAAUUUUAUAAAAAUACUUAAAUGCCCUAAAUUAAAUAAAACAGAAAAGGAAAAGAAAAGAAAAUACAAAG